RNAcentral lists this long non-coding RNA (344 nucleotides) under Monodelphis domestica (gray short-tailed opossum). RNAcentral's name for it is "lncRNA (ENSMODG00000051565.1)". The record is from RNAcentral. Lineage: Eukaryota; Metazoa; Chordata; Mammalia; Didelphimorphia; Didelphidae.
UUUAAAGUUUCUUUCUUCUUCCUUCCUUCUUUUCUUUCUUUUCUUUUUUCUUCCUUCUUUUCUUUCUUUUCUUCUUUUUUCCUUCCUUUGUUCUUUCAUCCUUUCCUUCCUUCCUUCCUUCCUUCCUUCCUUCCUUCCUUCCUUCCUUCCUUCCUUCCUUCCUUCCUUCCUUCCUUCCUUUCUUCCUUUCUUCCUUUCUUUCUUCCUUUCUUCCUUUUUCUUUCUUUCUUUCUUUCUUUCUUUCUUUCUUUCUUUCUUUCUUUCUUUCUUUCUUUCUUUCUUUCUUUCUUUCUCAUAAAAGUAGUAACACGUAAUAUCUUAAAGACUAUUGAUGUAUGUCAAUA